RNAcentral lists this long non-coding RNA (408 nucleotides) under Sorghum bicolor (sorghum). RNAcentral's name for it is "long non-coding RNA (SBIC_LNC000984)". Lineage: Eukaryota; Viridiplantae; Streptophyta; Magnoliopsida; Poales; Poaceae. The record is from RNAcentral.
GACAUAUCUUGUGCUUGUCAUUCAUCUGAUCUUCUUGCUCCAAUCCUGGAAAGGUUAGUGGCAAGAAUACCCGAAGGAAUAUUUCUACAAUUAUCUCAAUAUGCUCAAUACACGAGGCAAUGUUGCAAAUUCAUGUUACGAUCUGAUAAGUGCUUGUUUAAGGAUGCUAAGCUUAUCCUUGGGAAACCAUCAAAUUAUGUCGGCGAAGUGGUUUCCCCUCUAACGCUGACCUAUAUCAAGCUUGUUGACACCAGAAGUGGCAAACGGUUAUACCGCAAGCGUACGGUAGUCAAUGUAGCCUUCACCGGGAGUAUUCCAGGUAUCGUGAUUUCCACGGGGAACGCGAAGUGAAUUAACUAGGCUUUAGAUCGUUAGGUGAUGAUCAAAGGGUCUAGGAUAAUGGGGUAG